GAUCAGUGGCUCAGAGCGAACGCUGGCGGCAGGCUUAACACAUGCAAGUCGAGCGGGCGUAGCAAUACGUCAGCGGCAGACGGGUGAGUAACGCGUGGGAACGUACCUUUUGGUUCGGAACAACACAGGGAAACUUGUGCUAAUACCGGAUAAGCCCUUACGGGGAAAGAUUUAUCGCCGAAAGAUCGGCCCGCGUCUGAUUAGCUUGUUGGUGAGGUAACGGCUCACCAAGGCGACGAUCAGUAGCUGGUCUGAGAGGAUGAUCAGCCACAUUGGGACUGAGACACGGCCCAGACUCCUACGGGAGGCAGCAGUGGGAAUAUUGGACAAUGGGCGAAAGCCUGAUCCAGCCAUGCCGCGUGAGUGAUGAAGGCCCUAGGGUUGUAAAGCUCUUUCAACGGUGAAGAUAAUGACGGUAACCGUAGAAGAAGCCCCGGCUAACUUCGUG
Molecule: ribosomal RNA, 448 nt
Filed under: uncultured bacterium
Lineage: Bacteria
Description: bacterial SSU rRNA
Rfam family: Bacterial small subunit ribosomal RNA
Source: RNAcentral